Molecule: ribosomal RNA, 397 nt
Filed under: uncultured bacterium
Lineage: Bacteria
Description: bacterial SSU rRNA
Rfam family: Bacterial small subunit ribosomal RNA
Source: RNAcentral
CUGGCCUUGACACGGGAGAACUUUCCAGAGAUGGAGCUCCCGGUGGGGAUCUCAGACACAGUGUAAGCAUGGCUGUGGUGCAGACAAGUCCGGCAGGGCGGGUCAAAGUCCGGUGGCGAGCGCAACCCUUGUCUUUAGUUACCAGCAUCAGAGCAGGGGCACUUUAGAGAGCCCCAUGGUGGCAAACCGGAGGAAGGUGGGGAUGUAAGGAAGUCAUCAUGGCCCAGGCGCCCAGGCCACACACGUGCUACAAUGGUCGGAACAAAGAUCGGCAAGGCCUGAGGUGGAGUUAACCACAUAAAGAAAGGGGUAGUCCGGACAACAGUAUGCAACUCGGUAACGCCAAGUCGGAACCGGUAGUGAUGGUGAAUCAGAACGUCCCGGUGCAAGCGUUCCC